ACGACCUUACUUGAACAUGAUCUGUUCUAUAGGAUCGUACUACUGUGUCCUUGAUUUUUAAGAAGACGAAAACAUAAAUCUGGAAGAUGAAUUAUGAUCGUGUGAUCAAGGCAUGAUUAACGGUUCUGUGGCGAUAUCCUACGGGAAUCAUCACAACAUACUGUAGAUGAUCGUUCUCAGCUAGCACAGUCUAAUUGGGUUGGUCACACGGUUGUCUGACAGAUU
This is a small nucleolar RNA of Trifolium pratense (red clover), 225 nucleotides long. RefSeq annotates it as small nucleolar RNA U3. NCBI's taxonomy places the organism in Eukaryota, Viridiplantae, Streptophyta, Magnoliopsida, Fabales, Fabaceae. The transcript has a single exon. The record is from RefSeq and is a predicted model, not a curated record.